Molecule: ribosomal RNA, 257 nt
Filed under: uncultured bacterium
Lineage: Bacteria
Description: partial 16S ribosomal RNA
Rfam family: Bacterial small subunit ribosomal RNA
Source: RNAcentral
GCAAGUCGAGGGGUAACAGAUGAAGAGCUUGCUCAGAUUGCUGACGACCGGCGCACGGGUGAGUAACACGUAUGCAACCUACCUUUUACAGAGGGAUAGCCCAGAGAAAUUUGGAUUAAUACCUCAUGAUAUUUUUAACUCGCAUGAGUUUUAAAUUAAAACUUCGGUGGUAAAAGAUGGGCAUGCGUUCUAUUAGUUUGUUGGUGAGGUAACGGCUUACCAAGGCUAUGAUAGAUAGGUGGUCUGAGAGGAUGAUC